CCCCUUCCAGUAGCAAUCUAUCACUCACUUGUGUGAUAUCUUGUAAUGAUAUUUCCUUUUGUGAUCUUGACUUAGAACGUGUUCUGUGCACUCUAGAUAUUUCCUUAAACUUUGUUUAUUACCUUUAGAUUCUAAUGAUUAUUCGUGCUUAUUUCCUCCUAGUCAUUACUCUUGUAUUCAAUAAAUGGCUUUCGUCACCCUUAGGUGUCGGCCAGCACGUGUUUAUCCAGGUAUUUGGGGAAUAUCGGGGUCGGGACGUGUCACGCAUGGUGAUCAAACUGA
This 282-nucleotide long non-coding RNA is filed under the name Malus domestica (apple). Its description in RNAcentral is "long non-coding RNA (MDOM_LNC010449)". Lineage: Eukaryota; Viridiplantae; Streptophyta; Magnoliopsida; Rosales; Rosaceae. The record is from RNAcentral.